GGAGAGAUGGCAGAGUGGUCGAUUGCGGCGGUCUUGAAAACCGUUGAGGGUCACACCUCCGGGGGCACGAAUGCCUCUCUCACCGCCA
RNAcentral lists this transfer RNA (88 nucleotides) under Muribaculaceae bacterium. RNAcentral's name for it is "tRNA-Ser". It matches the Rfam family "tRNA". Rfam says of the family: Transfer RNA (tRNA) molecules are approximately 80 nucleotides in length. Their secondary structure includes four short double-helical elements and three loops (D, anti-codon, and T loops). Further hydrogen bonds mediate the characteristic L-shaped molecular structure. tRNAs have two regions of fundamental functional importance: the anti-codon, which is responsible for specific mRNA codon recognition, and the 3' end, to which the tRNAs corresponding amino acid is attached (by aminoacyl-tRNA synthetases). tRNAs cope with the degeneracy of the genetic code in two manners: having more than one tRNA (with a specific anti-codon) for a particular amino acid; and 'wobble' base-pairing, i.e. permitting non-standard base-pairing at the 3rd anti-codon position. The record is from RNAcentral. Lineage: Bacteria; Pseudomonadati; Bacteroidota; Bacteroidia; Bacteroidales; Muribaculaceae.